CCCUUAGAUGUCCUGGGCCGCACGCGCGUUACACUGAUGCAUUCAACGAGUUUAUAACCUUGGCCUGAAAGGUCUGGGUAAUCUUUUGAACGUGCAUCGUGAUAGGGAUAGAUUAUUGCAAUUGUUAAUCUUGAACGAGGAAUUCCUAGUAAACGCGAGUCAUCAGCUCGCAUUGAUUACGUCCCUGCCCUUUGUACACACCGCCCGUCGCACCUACCGAUUGAAUGGUUCGGUGAAGAUCUCGGACUUCGAUAUUUAUUCUUUAUUGAGUUUAUAUUGUGGGAAGUUAUCUAAACCUCAUCAUUUAGAGGAAGGUGAAGUCGUAACA
Molecule: ribosomal RNA, 328 nt
Filed under: uncultured eukaryote
Lineage: Eukaryota
Description: partial 18S ribosomal RNA
Rfam family: Eukaryotic small subunit ribosomal RNA
Source: RNAcentral